GGAGAGGUGCCUGAGUGGCCGAAAGGACCAGUUUGCUAAACUGGCGUACGGUUUAGACUGUACCGAGGGUUCGAAUCCCUCUCUCUCCGCAA
RNAcentral lists this transfer RNA (92 nucleotides) under Bacteroidota bacterium. RNAcentral's name for it is "Bacteroidetes bacterium tRNA-Ser". It matches the Rfam family "tRNA". Rfam says of the family: Transfer RNA (tRNA) molecules are approximately 80 nucleotides in length. Their secondary structure includes four short double-helical elements and three loops (D, anti-codon, and T loops). RNAcentral also lists the same sequence under 1 other name. The record is from RNAcentral. Lineage: Bacteria; Pseudomonadati; Bacteroidota.